AAAUAAAAAUUUUUUAUAGUUGAAAUAAUUUAUUUAAAAUUUAUUUUACAUAUGAAUUUUGGUAUAAUUUAUAUUUUAAAUUAUUUUAAUAAUGAUUUAUUUUUUUUUUGUAGUAAUUAAUAUUAAAAAAUUAGGAAAUUAAGUUUUAGUAAUAUAAUAAUUAAUAACAAAUUUUGUGCCAGCAGUUGCGGUUAUACAAAAGUUAAAUUAAAUUUUAUUAGUGAAUUAAUAAAUAAAAAUAUAAUAUUUUAAUUUAUUGUAUUUAUAUAAUUAAAAUUUUAAAUUAUUAAGUGAAAUUUUAAUUUAAUUAAAUUUAUAUUUAUUAUUUAUGAUUUAAUAAAUUUUAUAAAAAACUAGGAUUAGAUACCCUAUUAUAAAAAUUUAAAUUAAAAUACUAAAAGAGUAAAUAAUUAUUUAUUGAAACUUAAAUAAUUUGGCGGUAUUUUAGUUCAUUUAGAGGAAUCUGUUUAAUAAUUGAUAAUCCACGAAUAAAUUUACUUAAUUUAUAAUUUUAUAUAUCGUUGUUAAAAAAAUAUUUUUUUAUGAAAAUAAUAUUUUAAAAUUUAAAAUUAAAUUUAAAUCAGAUCAAGAUGUAGAUAAUAAUUAAGAAUAUAAUGGAUUACAAUAAAAUAAUUUAAAUGAAUAUUAAUUUGUAAAAAUUAAUUGAAAGUGGAUUUAAAUGUAAUUUUAUUUAAUUAAAUAAAAUGAUUAAAAAUUAAAGUAUGUACAUAUUGCCCGUCACUUUCAUAUAAUAUAUUUAUAUUUAAAUUUAAAUAUAAUAAAAAGUUGAAAUAAGUCGUAACAAAGUAGAGGUACUGGAAAGUGUUUCUAGAAAGAA
This 838-nucleotide non-coding RNA is filed under the name Dudusa sphingiformis. The record is from RNAcentral. Lineage: Eukaryota; Metazoa; Arthropoda; Insecta; Lepidoptera; Notodontidae.